RNAcentral lists this ribosomal RNA (396 nucleotides) under uncultured bacterium. RNAcentral's name for it is "partial 16S ribosomal RNA". It matches the Rfam family "Bacterial small subunit ribosomal RNA", at positions 360 to 774 of the family's 1533-position model. The record is from RNAcentral.
AAUAUUGCACAAUGGGGGAAACCCUGAUGCAGCGACGCCGCGUGAGCGAAGAAGGCCUUCGGGUCGUAAACCCCUGCCCUAAGGGAGGAACCGUACGGUCCCUUCGGAGGACGCCCCGGCUAACUCCGUGCCACCAGCCGCGGUAAUACGUAGGGGGCGAGCGUUAUCCGGAAUUAUUGGGCGUAAAGGGUGCGUAGGCGGCCUUUUAAGUCAGAUGUGAAAGGCUACGGCUUAACCGUAGUUAGCAUUUGAAACUAAAAGGCUUGAGUGCAGGAGAGGAGAGUGGAAUUCCUAGUGUAGCGGUGAAAUGCGUAGAUAUUAGGAGGAACACCAGUGGCGAAGGCGACUCUCUGGACUGCAACUGACGCUGAGGCACGAAAGCGUGGGGAGCGAACA